GCCGCAUCCACUUUAACAUGCUUGAAUGCAUCUGGACUUAAUUUAC
This 46-nucleotide small RNA is filed under the name Lacticaseibacillus paracasei. Its description in RNAcentral is "Lactobacillus paracasei CRISPR-DR8". The record is from RNAcentral. Lineage: Bacteria; Bacillati; Bacillota; Bacilli; Lactobacillales; Lactobacillaceae.